RNAcentral lists this unclassified non-coding RNA (294 nucleotides) under Hevea brasiliensis (rubber tree). Lineage: Eukaryota; Viridiplantae; Streptophyta; Magnoliopsida; Malpighiales; Euphorbiaceae. The record is from RNAcentral.
UAGGGCUGCAAGUCCACUAUCAGUAAUUUGGCGGGCAUCAAGAUUAAGUGAUUUAAGAGAAGACAAUCCAGACAAUUUUCUUAUACCACCAUCUGUAAUCAUAGUGAAUGACAGAUUUAUACUCUCCAAAUUGGUCAAACCAGAUAGGUGGCGAAGCCCACUGCUUCCAACUUCAGUAUCUGACAACACUAAGCAUUUCAAACGAUGAAGGCCUGUUAUGUUAGCCAGACCCUCAUCAUCAAUUCUGCAAGAAUCCAAGUUCACGCUCUCCAAAUUUGUCAAACCUUUCAGGUG